AGCAGCCGCGGUAAUUCCAGCUCCAAUAGCGUAUAUUAAAGUUGUUGCAGUUAAAAAGCUCGUAGUUGAAUUUCGGGGUUAGCAGGUCGGUCGUGCCAAUGGUAUGCACUGGCUCGCUGACUCCUCCUUCUUGUAGAACCGUAAUGCCAUUAAUUUGGUGUUGCGGGGAAACAGGACUGUUACUUUGAAAAAUUAGAGUGUUUAAAGCAGGCUAGCGCCUGAAUACAUUAGCAUGGAAUAAUGAAAUAGGACGUUCGAACCUAUUUUGUUGGUUUCUAGGAUUGACGUAAUGAUUAAUAGGGAUAGUUGGGGGCAUUAGUAUUCAAUUGUCAGAGUGAAAUUCUUGGAUUUAUUGAAGACUGACUACUGCGAAAGCAUUUGCCAAGGAUGUUUCAUUAAUCAAGAACGAAAGUUAGGGAUCGAAGACGAUCAGAUACCGUCGUAGUCUUAACCAUAAACUAUG
This 463-nucleotide ribosomal RNA is filed under the name uncultured Glomus. Its description in RNAcentral is "SSU rRNA". It matches the Rfam family "Eukaryotic small subunit ribosomal RNA", at positions 569 to 1041 of the family's 1831-position model. The record is from RNAcentral. Lineage: Eukaryota; Fungi; Glomeromycota; Glomeromycetes; Glomerales; Glomeraceae.